CCUACGGGGGGCUGCAGUGGGGAAUAUUGGACAAUGGGGGCAACCCUGAUCCAGCCAUGCCGCGUGUGUGAAGAAGGCCCUCGGGUUGUAAAGCACUUUCAGUGAGGAAGAACGCCUGGUGGUUAAUACCCAUCAGGAAAGACAUCACUCACAGAAGAAGCACCGGCUAACUCCGUGCCAGCAGCCGCGGUAAUACGGAGGGUGCGAGCGUUAAUCGGAAUUACUGGGCGUAAAGCGCGCGUAGGUGGCUUGAUAAGCCGGUUGUGAAAGCCCCGGGCUCAACCUGGGAACGGCAUCCGGAACUGUCAAGCUAGAGUGCAGGAGAGGAAGGUAGAAUUCCCGGUGUAGCGGUGAAAUGAGUAGAGAUCGGGAGGAAUACCAGUGGCGAAGGCGGCCUUCUGGACUGACACUGACACUGAGGUGCGAAAGCGUGGGUAGCAAACAGGAUUAGAUACCCGAGUAGUC
Molecule: ribosomal RNA, 465 nt
Filed under: Vreelandella stevensii
Lineage: Bacteria; Pseudomonadati; Pseudomonadota; Gammaproteobacteria; Oceanospirillales; Halomonadaceae
Description: partial 16S ribosomal RNA
Rfam family: Bacterial small subunit ribosomal RNA
Source: RNAcentral